Molecule: long non-coding RNA, 1003 nt
Filed under: Coturnix japonica (Japanese quail)
Lineage: Eukaryota; Metazoa; Chordata; Aves; Galliformes; Phasianidae
Description: lncRNA (ENSCJPG00005008193.1)
Source: RNAcentral
AAGAGAAGCACGUCUAUAGAGCAUCUGACCACGUCUACUUCACUUACAUUUAACAUCACUGAAAAAAGAAGAAGUCCAUGGAUCCAAUUUAAUCUGUACUGGCAGAGGAGUGAAAUAACUGGCAACUCUGACUUGUCUUCCAGUGACCAUAACAAAAUUAUCUCACAUCAAGUAUUGUACUCCUUGGAACAGUCAACAAAGAUAUUUAGGAAAAAAAAAUUAAAAAAAGAAGGGUGUUCCUUCUCAUCUCUUGCUUCAGGGAGCUUGAAGCACCACUUCUACACUGCAGCUGGUCAUGUUUUCAAAUGGGAGUUUGUUUUUCCAGUUUGUCAGGGAAAGGUCUCAUAGCAAGCAUUACAUUCACACAAAAUUACUCUUUCAGUGUCUGGAGCUGACAUGGGGUAACAUUGCCACAACUCAACAAUUUAAGGAAUGAAGCUGAAGGCUGUAUAUAACCAAAGCAAAAAUGUGAAAGAAGAAAAAAAAAAAAAAAAAAAAGCAAUUAUCAAUAUGGCAUGUGUUUUAGAGCCUUUAGAACACAACUGAGAGAAUGAUUUAUAGCUAGUACACUAAGAAAUUUCCUGCAUUUUUUUUCUUUUUUCUCUUAAAAGUAUGUGUACGAUCUUGUAAAGGAACUAAUUAGUAAGUUGUUCUUGAGUAGCUCAUUGCAGUAUUGGAAAUGUGAACUGAUUUUGAUUACUACAUGAAAAGCACUGGAAUUACUAUGUUGACUCCAUCAAAGUCAAAAUUUGAUCAAAGGAAUUCCUUUUUGUGAAUUCUGCAACAAAUGAACAAUUCAUGCAUUUUAUGACUCUGAUGCUAAAUAACUUUUUAGCAGUUGCUUUUUAACAUUUCCUUCUUAGCCUUGACAUUCCUUUCACAGUUUUUAUUUGGCAUGUGUUCAACUGGAAUGAUAAUCUACUGUAAUUUUCCAGUGAGAAAAUACAAUUAAAAAACAUCAAUAAUUAAUAAACUUAAACAUUGAUAAAUGUUAAUAAAUUAA